RNAcentral lists this transfer RNA (77 nucleotides) under Actinomycetota bacterium. RNAcentral describes it as "tRNA-Ala". The record is from RNAcentral. Lineage: Bacteria; Bacillati; Actinomycetota.
GGUCAGCGGCUCACGCUGAGACACAGAGCGCUUCGGUCGCAUCGAAGAGGCCGUGGGUUCGAGUCCCAUCACCUCCA